Molecule: long non-coding RNA, 1880 nt
Organism: Prionailurus viverrinus (fishing cat)
Lineage: Eukaryota; Metazoa; Chordata; Mammalia; Carnivora; Felidae
Exons: 4
Source: RefSeq, a predicted model, not a curated record
GACUCUUAAAAGGGGGAGGGAGGGGCUCCCCUGCUGCUGCACUUGGUGCUGAGUAAAUGCCGCCUGAACGUCUUGGAGGCCUGGCCCCAACCACAGAGUCAAUCGUAUUCUUUCCCCUUUCUGGCAGUGCUAGUUCCACAGCCCCCCCCCCCCCCCCGCCACCCCCAGCACCUCUAGAGAGAGGCUGCUUGCCCAGCUCCCCUCUCCCCUCCCUCCCCAGGACUCACCGAUCCGGUCAUUGCCAUUGCAGGAGGCAAAGUGCAGAGCUGUGCGGCCCUUGUCAUCAGCUGCACAGGGAUCCGUGCCAUCUUCCAGCAGCUGCUGCACUGACAUCGCCAAGACAGAGGGAGGGAGGGCGACAGAGAGGUAGUGUGAGUUACGCUGCAGCCCCCGGGGGUGAACACGGAUGCUCAGGGGACCCUGCAGGUAAGGCACCGAUAAGCCAUGGGAGAGCGAGCUCCUCCUGGAUGCAGGCCUUACAGGGAAUGUCAUGACAAGGGACUUACUCUCCUGAGGGCACAACUGGGAGCCCCCGAUUCGGGCUGCUCAAACUACGUCUAGGGUUAGAACAUCACAGAAGGAUCUUGGCCCUCAGCGUCAGGAGUUCUCGAAUCACAGAAAUCCCCGGCACGCAGACUUUGGCCCCACAUCCAUUUGGAUACACACCCUUUCCAGUUGGACACAGCAGCCCAAGCUGCGGGGGCAGCGUUCACUUUGCUCCUGGGAGGUGGCCUUUUAGAGUGAGCGGCCAGAGCACAGGUUUGGAGCCACGGAGACUAAGUCCCAGGCUAAGCUGGGUAACGAAGAGAGGGGUACGUUGCCAAUGGCACGGGGCAGUGGAAAGAGCGGGGCUCAGAGCAGGAAGGCCUGAAUCUGGGCCCCAAUUCACCGGCAAAUGGGAAUGAUCUCCGCCCUGCCAAUCUCCAGAGCUGCUGUAAUAACAAUAAUGGAUAUGAAAUUUCUUCGUUGCAAAGUACGGAGCCAUUAUAAAAUGUGACGCAUUAUGUGACACAUGUGUGUGUCCAGCUGAAAUGGAGAAAUUGCUGCCAAACAUCAUUUUAGAGCAGCUGACAUUUUUAGUCUCUGCCAGCGAACCUCUCAAGGACUCCAGACGAAGCCCGGAAUCUCCUCCUCCUCCUUCACUUCAAGCUCAGGGAGCCACUCCAUCAUCCGCGGGUCCUCAGUGCCCAGUUCACCUCGCCUGCUCUGACAUUAAAACGCCGCGCUGGUUUUGGAUAUCGUCCCCCUACGCCGAGCACCAGCCUGGCACCAGGUUUUGUGUUUCGUGCAUCUUACUUCAUACUCAGGAUCGAGACGGGAUUUGCGCAGCUCCAGGAUCGCUGUUGACUAACUGAAUGAAGGUGGCAGGAAAAGGAUUAGGAGAAUGGAAGAGAAGUAAGGGCUUCAGGCCAUCUCAGUACAUUCACCAAAAGACAGCCCGUAUCAAAGAGAUAAGACAAAGCUAAAAGAGUCCAUUCUCUUUCGUGAUUUGUGCAGGAGGACAUCAAUUUUAUGCCCACGGUAAUUGCUAAACUACAGCAAAAACCCAAUAAACAUGCGGAGAAGGAAAAGGAAAUGCUGACCAUAGAGAGAAAAGCAAUAAAGAGGCUAAUCCUACAGAGUCACCGUCGGAGCCUCGUAAGAGCCUGGUAAACCUAAGAGCCAUUUAGAUUUGAAGAUGAGUGUGUCAGAGACUCUGGAAAAUUACAGCAUUUCUCUCAGUAUAAUGAAACCACCAACCAUAACUUGCUCUUCUACCUCUGAUGCUGCCACUGCCCUGUCGGCCAAUGAACGCUAGACAGCAACAAUAAAAAACCAGAGUGGAUGGGGCGCCUGGGUGGCGCAGUCGGUUAAGCGUCCGACUUCAGCCAGGUCACGAU